GGCAGAAGAGGGAAAUGAAAAUAAUGACAAAGCCAAAAAAAUGACACCAUUUCUUUAAUUCAGGCACAGUCGGGAGUGCCUGUUCUUCCCUCUUCUUUUUUUUUUUAAGCUUGAGGAAAUCAUCAUGAUGAUUGUAGCUGAUGUACGCUGGCAAAACAUUUAAGUAGACGUGUGCCUGAAAGCAUGAAUCACAUCUAUUUUCUUAUUAUUUUAGGAAAUACGUUGUACUGAUUAUGGCUUUUUCAUCUGAAAAUGCAAAAAACCUGUCGCGAACUCCUCAUCCCUGUGGGGCAGGUAGAGACUGUGUGCCGGAUGGGCAAAAGGAGGUGGCAAGUUUGGGCAGCUUUUCCAGUGGGAUGCAAGGAGCGACAAAGAAAGGUUUUCUGGAGAGGUCUGGACUCACAACUAAAUCAGAGAGGGCUCAGGCACCAACGCAGCUUCCCACCACCCCAGAGCUGAGCCCCCUCCCUUCAUUUAUGCCAUUCAAACCCUGCUCUGCUCUCGCCACUGAGCAUUUUUUGGAGGACCCCAGGCUCCAGCAGGGCCCCGAGGCAGGACACCCACCCACGAACCAGCCAGGGGUGCUUUGGGAGGGUAGGUUGCUUUCUGUGGGUAGAAAUGUUUAUUUUAUUAUUCUUUUAAUUCCUCCAUGCUGCGUUCCUGCCUCAUCAAAACGCAUUAGCAAACUAAAUCUUUGUCAGUGAGGGAGGUCUCGCUUCCUUUCACGGAUAACAAUUCUUUAAGUCUGUGGGAAGAUUAAAAGUGCAGUACUAAGUAAAAAAUCAUACAGCUGGGGAAGGCAAAUGCCCGUAACUGUGUUCAUUAACAAUAUUGUAUAUCAUCUAAAUGAAAGAAAGUUUAAAGGCUUAAUGAUUUCCUUCUCACCGAUACACACUGUUCGGUGCCAGCUCAGACAACGAAGAAAGACUAACCUGUUUUACCUCUGCCCUGCUUUGAUGGUUGUUUUGCAAACACUUCAGGAAAGUGUUCAAAUUCCCAUAAAAUUGAUUUUCAGUGGAAGUUGAAGGGGAAAAAAAAUAUUUUCUAUUGAGUGAUUUUUACAAUAAGAUUAACUUCACAAGACCUCAACUUUGGCCCUAGCUGGCCUUGACAAUGCCUCCCUUUUAAGAAGGUGAUGCAGCUAUCUAUAAUUAGCCACGGCUAGUUAAUAACUCAUCUGUUAAUGUCUGGACCCACAAAUGGAAGGUUUCAAUGUACAAGGAACCAAGGAUAAGCCAAC
RNAcentral lists this long non-coding RNA (1240 nucleotides) under Calidris pugnax (ruff). RNAcentral describes it as "lncRNA (ENSCPUG00000017199.1)". Lineage: Eukaryota; Metazoa; Chordata; Aves; Charadriiformes; Scolopacidae. The record is from RNAcentral.